This is an RNA transcript of Tympanuchus pallidicinctus (lesser prairie-chicken), 747 nucleotides long. It is a transcript of the gene named copper metabolism domain containing 1, with no coding region annotated. NCBI's taxonomy places the organism in Eukaryota, Metazoa, Chordata, Aves, Galliformes, Phasianidae. The transcript has 4 exons. The record is from RefSeq and is a predicted model, not a curated record.
GGGGACUGGGGCGCGGGCCGCCCCUCCAACAUGGCGGCGGCCGAGCAGCAGCCGCCGGCGGCCGAUGGCGGCAAGGCGCUGAGCGCGCUGCUGGGCGGCAUCGCGCAGGCCGCCUACUACGGCAAGGCCGACAUCACGGAGGAGCUGCUGCGCGGGCAGCUCUACCCCGAGGCGGCGCCGGAGGAGUUCCGCGCCCUGCGCGCCAAGAUGGGCGGCCUGCUGCAGUCAAUCGCUUCAGCUGAUAUGGAUUUGAAUCAGCUGGAAGCUUUUCUCACUGCCCAAACAAAAAAGCAAGGUGGCAUCACGUCGGAUCAAGCUGCAGUCAUUGCCAAAUUUUGGAAAAACCACCGAGUGAGGAUCCAUGAGAGCCUGGUAAAUCAAAGCUGCUGGGAUAACGUCUUGAAAAACAUGAACUGGAGAGUGGAUCUGAAGUCACAGUCAAGACAUGUUGAUCAGAUAAAUACUCCAGUUGCAAUAGUUGAAAUGGAACUGGGGAAAAACGGUCAGAACUUUGUGGACUGUGUAAACUAACGGAGUGUUACAUGAGACUAAACCCAGCUCUGAGCAGCCCGAUUUACUGCCCCCUCCUUCACAUUUCAGGAAUCUGAAUUUCUCUGCCUGGAGUUUGAUGAGGCCAAGGUGAGCCAGAUGCUGAAGAAACUCUCAGAAAUAGAGGACAGCAUGACUGCAUUGACUCAGACCACCUGACUCACAGAAAAUAAAGAGAUUGCAACUCAAAAAAACAAA